RNAcentral lists this ribosomal RNA (387 nucleotides) under uncultured bacterium. RNAcentral describes it as "bacterial SSU rRNA". It matches the Rfam family "Bacterial small subunit ribosomal RNA", at positions 9 to 409 of the family's 1533-position model. The record is from RNAcentral.
GAGUUUGAUCAUGGCUCAGGAUGAACGCUGGCGGCGUGCCUAACACAUGCAAGUCGAGCGAACUCUUCGGAGUGAGCGGCGGACGGGUGAGUAACGCGUGGGUAACCUGCCCUGUACACAUGGAUAACAUACCGAAAGGUAUGCUAAUACAAGAUAAAAUGUAUUUAUCGCAUGAUAGAUAUAUCAAAGCGUUAGAGGUACAGGAUGGACCCGCGUCUGAUUAGCUAGUUGGUAAGGUAAAGGCUUACCAAGGCGACGAUCAGUAGCCGACCUGAGAGGGUGAUCGGCCACAUUGGAACUGAGACACGGUCCAAACUCCUACGGGAGGCAGCAGUAGGGAUCUUCCACAAUGGACAAAGUCUGACGGAGCAACGCCGCGUGAGUGAU